Carassius auratus (goldfish) is the source of this 338-nucleotide long non-coding RNA. RefSeq lists it as uncharacterized. Lineage: Eukaryota; Metazoa; Chordata; Actinopteri; Cypriniformes; Cyprinidae. The record is from RefSeq and is a predicted model, not a curated record. The transcript is spliced from 2 exons.
CACAGCCUUUACACACUUGGCCAUUGUUUGAGAGGCUCUGCUGAUGGGAUCUGUGGAGGAAGACAAUCAAAGGCAAUGAAAUCCUUCACUGUGAGCUGAGGGGGGACAAGAGGAGCUGCAAGCAAUGACUGAUUUGCAGCCUAAAGAAAACAGGAGGACAUUACUGAACUCUGUAAUUAGUGCAGAUUCAAAACAAAAAACUAUUUAAAAAGGAAGAAGAACACUAACCUUUGAAAGCUCAUGGGCCUGUUUGAAAUAAUUGGCUUCUUCUACAUCAUCAUAUCUCACCAGGUUAGGAGAGACCUCUUCCAGCCUUCUCCUCACCUCAUCCAGUGUGU